CUACGGGAGGCACCAGUGGGGAAUAUUGGACAAUGGGGGAAACCCUGAUCCAGCAAUGCCGCGUGUGUGAAGAAGGCCUGCGGGUUGUAAAGCACUUUCGGUUGGGAGGACUGCUUCUAGCACUAAUAUUGUUGGAAGUUGACGUUACCUUCAGAAGAAGCACCGGCUAACUCCGUGCCAGCAGCCGCGGUAAUACGGAGGGGUGCAAGCGUUAAUCGGAAUUACUGGGCGUAAAGCGCGCGUAGGCGGCUAGAUCAGUCGGGUGUGAAAGCCCCGGGCUUAACCUGGGAACUGCAUCCGAUACUGUCUAGCUUGAGUACAGGAGAGGAGAGUGGAAUUCCACAUGUAGCGGUGAAAUGCGUAGAUAUGUGGAGGAACACCAAUGGCGAAGGCAGCUCUCUGGCCCGAUACUGACGCUGAGGUGCGAAAGCGUGGGGAGCAAACAGGAUUAGAUACCCCGGUAGUC
This 466-nucleotide ribosomal RNA is filed under the name uncultured bacterium. RNAcentral describes it as "partial 16S ribosomal RNA". It matches the Rfam family "Bacterial small subunit ribosomal RNA", at positions 339 to 795 of the family's 1533-position model. The record is from RNAcentral.